Molecule: unclassified non-coding RNA, 324 nt
Filed under: soil metagenome
Description: partial contains 5.8S ribosomal RNA, internal transcribed spacer 2, and large subunit ribosomal RNA
Rfam family: 5.8S ribosomal RNA (bases 1-120)
Source: RNAcentral
GAUGAAGAACGUAGCGAAAUGCGAUAAGUAAUGUGAAUUGCAGAAUUCAGUGAAUCAUCGAAUCUUUGAACGCACAUUGCGCCCCUUGGUAUUCCAUGGGGCAUGCCUGUUCGAGCGUCAUUUGUACCUUCAAGCUUUGCUUGGUGUUGGGUGUUUGUCCCUCGGGACUCGCCUUAAAGUCAUUGGCAGCCAGUGUUUUGGUUUUGAAGCGCAGCACAAGUCGCGAUUCAAGGCUAUCCGCCCGCUUCCACAAGCCUUUUUCACUUUUGACCGCGGAUCAGGUAGGGAUACCCGCUGAACUUAAGCAUAUCAAUAAGCGGAGGA